Pteropus vampyrus (large flying fox) is the source of this 118-nucleotide ribosomal RNA. The record is from Ensembl. NCBI's taxonomy places the organism in Eukaryota, Metazoa, Chordata, Mammalia, Chiroptera, Pteropodidae.
UCCUACAGUCAUGCCACCCUGAAUGAGCCUGAUCCCCUCUGAUCUCUGAAGCUAAGCAGGUCGGGCCUGGUUAGUGCUUGGAUGGAAGACCACCUACGAAGACCAGAUGCUGUAGGCG